UUCCGGUUGAUCCCGCCGGACCUGACUGCUAUCGGAUUGAUACUAAGCCAUGCGAGUCAUUGUAGUAAUACAAGGCAGACGGCUCAGUAACGCGUAGUCAACCUAACCUAUGGACGGGAAUAACCUCGGGAAACUGAGUAUAAUGCCCGAUAGAACAUUAUACCUGGAAUGGUUUAUGUUUCAAAUGAUUUAUCGCCGUAGGAUGGGACUGCGGCCUAUCAGUUUGUUGGUGAGGUAAUGGCCCACCAAGACUAUUACAGGUACGGGCUCUGAGAGGAGUAGCCCGGAGAUGGGUACUGAGACACGGACCCAGGCCCUAUGGGGCGCAGCAGGCGAGAAAACUUUGCAAUGUGCGAAAGCACGACAAGGUUAAUCCGAGUGGUUUCUGCUAAAGAAACCUUUUGUUAGUCCUAGAAACACUAACGAAUAAGGGGUGGGCAAGUUCUGGUGUCAGCCGCCGCGGUAAAACCAGCACCUCAAGUGGUCAGGAUGAUUAUUGGGCCUAAAGCAUCCGUAGCCGGCUCUGUAAGUUUUCGGUUAAAUCUGUACGCUCAACGUACAGGCUGCCGGAAAUACUGCAGGGCUAGGGAGUGGGAGAGGUAGACGGUACUCGGGAGGAAGGGGUAAAAUCCUUUGAUCUCUCGAUGGCCACCUGUGGCGAAGGCGGUCUACCAGAACACGUCCGACGGUGAGGGAUGAAAGCUGGGGGAGCAAACCGGAUUAGAUACCCGGGUAGUCCCAGCUGUAAACUAUGCAAACUCAGUGAUGCAUUGACUUGUGGUCAAUGCAGUGCUGCAGGGAAGCCGUUAAGUUGCCGCCUGGGAAGUACGUACGCAAG
RNAcentral lists this ribosomal RNA (838 nucleotides) under uncultured crenarchaeote. Its description in RNAcentral is "bacterial SSU rRNA". It matches the Rfam family "Archaeal small subunit ribosomal RNA", at positions 1 to 847 of the family's 1478-position model. The record is from RNAcentral. Lineage: Archaea; Thermoproteati; Thermoproteota.